Molecule: long non-coding RNA, 383 nt
Organism: Eupeodes corollae
Lineage: Eukaryota; Metazoa; Arthropoda; Insecta; Diptera; Syrphidae
Exons: 2
Source: RefSeq, a predicted model, not a curated record
UUGAUUUUCUAGGAUGUAGAAAUAAUAAUUACUUCCAAAACACAGAAGCUAUCAUUUUCUUAAAAAAUCACUACAUUUAUUUCUAAGGUGACAUUUUUAAUUAUUAUCUCCUUUCAAGAAUUUAUUUUUCAUAUAUUAUAAAGAAAUAUACAUUUAUGCGGAAGAGACGCACCAAGGAGCAAAUAAAACUAAGCAAUGAAAGACGAACUUGGGUCAAACUUUACCGCAAAGGCCUCAAGCAAAAGCUUUUUUUGAGAAGAAAUUUCGGCUAUAUGAGUCAAUUCUCCAAGAAUAACAAACCAUCAAAUUCACUUAAAAAAAUGUAACCAUACUUAUUUUUGUUGCUCUUACCUGGAAUAAAAAGACUUUUUAGUGGCACUUCA